RNAcentral lists this ribosomal RNA (274 nucleotides) under uncultured bacterium. RNAcentral's name for it is "partial 16S ribosomal RNA". It matches the Rfam family "Bacterial small subunit ribosomal RNA", at positions 523 to 796 of the family's 1533-position model. The record is from RNAcentral.
AUACGGAGGGUGCAAGCGUUAAUCGGAAUUACAGGGCGUAAAGCGUACGUAGGCGGUUAUUUAAGUCAGAUGUGAAAGCCCCGGGCUUAACUUGGGAACUGCAUUUGAAACUGGGUAACUAGAGUUUAGUAGGGGGGAGUGGAAUUUCAGGUGUAGCGGUGAAAUGCGUAGAGAUCUGAAGGAACACCAGUGGCGAAGGCGACUCCCUGGACUAAAACUGACGCUGAGGCACGAAAGCGUGGGUAGCAAACAGGAUUAGAAACCCUAGUAGUCC